UUUCACUCUCAUUAAAUAUGUCAUCUGGUUCACUUAAGUGAGAGCACGCACCAUCAGAAUUUUUUAUUAACAACAAAUAUUAAUUAAUAUAGAUUAAAACGAGUAUAAAGGAUACUCGAAUUUAAUAUACAAAUACAUAGAAAAAGUGACAAACCAUAAAAAUAUAUUCAAUUUGAUAGUGUCAUGUUUGUACAACAAAAAAAGAUAAAAUAAAAAACUAACUUCCAAACAUACAAAAUAAAAUUACUUUUAAAUAUUAUUUUUGCUUAUACAUGUCAGAUUAAUCCUUAUCAAUUGCUAUUACAAACAUUAUCACCAAAUGGUAUUUGCUGGCUAAUCUCAAUCCCAUUAUCAUCAUUAUUUUCUACAAAUUUACACCAAUAUUGGUUUGUCAAUACAUUUUUUGAAAUAGAUUCAUCGAUAUAUUAUUUGAUAUAUACUCAUUUUUUGAACUAACCGCAUGUCCGUACCAAGGUUAAUUUCUAUAAAAUCCAAACAUAUAAGCACUUUUUGUUUAUAAUUGAGUCGGGAGGGAGUAGAUUAAUGAUAUCACUGCAACACAAAUAUAGACAUAAGAUAAAAGUAAGUAACUUUCAUAUGUAAAGUGAAGUAAUUCAGUAAGAAUACACAAGCAUCGACAAAUUCCAAGCCAUGUUUAUUGCUUUAAAAGAAGCAUGAGUUCAACUUCAAAUGUGAGGAAAAACGUGAUUUCUUUUAGGGUUUUGGAAAAGUAAAUUAAAAAGUAGAGUGAAGACACAUUAUGGCCUCUCACAAAAACAAAAUUACAAGGGACAUAUUAGUCUUUAAUUUAAAAAAAUGAUUCCAUUGAAUUUCCCACAAAAAUAAAUCGGAAUACAUUAGUCAUUUUAUCAGUUUUUCUUCGUUUUUUAACUAUAACUUAAUAUGAAAAUGGCAGAAGAAAUACUUCAUAAGGAAAUGGUCAAAAAAAUUGUCAUUGUGUCGAGCUACAACUAUUCUUUGUCAUAGCCAGAAAUUGCUAUAAACUACCCUCUUAUAUUUUUGUUAAAGAUCGCUAAGAAAGUUCGUGAACGUCAUUAACAACGUAACCGGACGUACCAUCAAUUUUCAAAGUGUGAAUGACAUAUCGUGAUUCAGAGACUAAAUUAUCUCAAUUUAUUUUUGUUACACUAGUAGCUGAACAACUUCAAAAUCAAAAUUACACUUAUUUUGGAUUUAAAUAUGAUUUUAGUCCUACAAUUAUAUCAGUUGUUUUUAAUUCCUGAUUCAGUUUAUUGGACCAUGUAGCAUAAUUUUAUUAGAUCACGUCUUACAUCGAAGACUAAAAACAACAAUUUUUGAAUUGAUAGAAUUUGAAUAAAAAAAAUAGAGGAAUAAAUUAAUUUAAAAAAACUAUUAUCAUAUGAACUAAAAUAAUAUUUAAACCUCUCAAUUUAUUAAAAAUACUUCGUAGAGAUGUAAAAAAUUACCUUUUCAAUAGACUGCAAACAAGAUUGAGAGAGUCCAAUAAAAGUAACUCGAUUGAUGAAUUAAAUAACAUUGAAUGAGUUUUAAGUAUGGGUUCGGUAUCAAAAACUAACAUAAUCUAACUAAUUAAUUAGUAAAUUUUGCCAAUAAAAAAAGAAUCCAAUUUCAGAGAAGUUCAUAGAUUCAUAAUACGAAAGAAAAACAGGGUCAAAAAAUUGGAAAAUCUCGCAGUGUGUCGUCUAGAAGAAGAAAACACUAAACAAGGAUAUUUAGACUUAUUGGAAAGAAGAAGAAGCAGAAUAGUGAUAAUAAUGUAGCUAGAGAAGAAGUGAAACGAUGGAGAUGUGGUUUUUCAUAAGGUGUGGCAAGAGUUUAAAUAAAGAGAAGAGUACUUGAAAUUGAA
Molecule: long non-coding RNA, 1849 nt
Filed under: Cicer arietinum (chickpea)
Lineage: Eukaryota; Viridiplantae; Streptophyta; Magnoliopsida; Fabales; Fabaceae
Description: long non-coding RNA (CARI_LNC000593)
Source: RNAcentral